GUGGGGAAUCUUCCGCAAUGGACGAAAGUCUGACGGAGCAACGCCGCGUGAGUGAAGAAGGUUUUCGGAUCGUAAAGCUCUUUCGUUAGGGACGAACGUGCUCUUUGUGAAUAAUGAGGAGUAAUGACGGUACCUAAAUAAGAAGCCACGGCUAACUACGUGCCAGCAGCCGCGGUAAUACGUAGGUGGGAAGCGUUGUCCGGAAUUAUUGGGCGUAAAGCGCGCGCAGGCGGGAUAUCAAGUCUGUCUUAAAAGUGCGAGGCUCAACCUCGUGAGGGGACAGAAACUGGUAUUCUUGAGUGUCGGAGAGGAAAGUGGAAUUCCAAGUGUAGCGGUGAAAUGCGUAGAGAUUUGGAAGAACACCAGUGGCGAAGGCGACUUUCUGGACGAUGUCUGACGCUGAGGCGCGAAAGCUAGGGGAGCGAACGGGAUUAGAUACCCUGGUAGUCC
RNAcentral lists this ribosomal RNA (450 nucleotides) under uncultured bacterium. RNAcentral's name for it is "partial 16S ribosomal RNA". It matches the Rfam family "Bacterial small subunit ribosomal RNA", at positions 354 to 796 of the family's 1533-position model. The record is from RNAcentral.